RNAcentral lists this long non-coding RNA (546 nucleotides) under Salvia miltiorrhiza (redroot sage). RNAcentral's name for it is "long non-coding RNA (SMIL_LNC000385)". Lineage: Eukaryota; Viridiplantae; Streptophyta; Magnoliopsida; Lamiales; Lamiaceae. The record is from RNAcentral.
GAGGCAUAAAGCCAUGGUUAUCAAACGAGGAAAGCAAUCUCGGCGCCGUAGCAUGUCUAUGACUGGUCGGUCGACAAGGCCGGAAAUAGUUGAGUCCAGGAGGCAUGUGUCACUCUAGUGCGGAGUUGGGGACCCCGGGAGAGAAGGUUGGUGAGGGCCAUACUUGGUGAGUAACGGGUAUGACUACUAUCUAAGGAGGAGUGAAGCACUGCCUUGUGACCGGGGAUUGUGUGACCUUCGGACCAAGUGACUACAAUGGACUCAACCAUCCUAAGUGUGAAGUAUAGCCUCUUGAAACGCCCCAAUGUCUUUGGGCCACGCCUUGAGUCUAUAUGGAUCAUGGACGGAUCAUCAGUAUGCCUAUGACCGAAAUAAAUAUUGACAACAGUUAUGACCUAACCGUAAACCUUACCCUUUGUUAUAUUUGAUCUUUGUUUAAGUUUACUUGUGCAGAUAAACAGGUUGAGACCGUGACAACUCAAUUUGUGCACCCGAAGAGUAAAGUAGUUCCUCACUCUCCGUGGGAUCGACCCUAUACUUGCUGCU